GGGCCCGCACAAGCGGUGGAGUAUGUGGUUUAAUUCGAUGCAACGCGAAGAACCUUACCAGGACUUAAAUGUAAGUUGCAUGAUUCAGAAAUGAAUCUUUCUUCGGACUACUUACAAGGUGCUGCAUGGUUGUCGUCAGCUCGUGCCGUGAGGUGUCAGGUUAAGUCCUAUAACGAGCGCAACCCCUAUCGUUAGUUGCCAUCAAGUAAAGUUGGGAACUCUAGCGAAACUGCCGGUGCAAACCGAGAGGAAGGUGGGGAUGACGUCAAAUCAUCACGGCCCUUACGUUCUGGGCUACACACGUGCUACAAUGGUCGGUACAGAAAGCAGCCACUAUGCGAAUAGGAGCUAAUCUUUAAAACCGAUCUCAGUUCGGAUCGCAGUCUGCAACUCGACUGCGUGAAGCUGGAAUCGCUAGUAAUCG
Molecule: ribosomal RNA, 424 nt
Filed under: uncultured bacterium
Lineage: Bacteria
Description: bacterial SSU rRNA
Rfam family: Bacterial small subunit ribosomal RNA
Source: RNAcentral